AAGGGGGGGGGUGCUACCAUGCAAGUCGAACGAUGAUGCCCAGCUUGCUGGGCGGAUUAGUGGCGAACGGGUGAGUAAUACGUGAGUAACCUGCCCUUGACUCUGGGAUAAGCCUGGGAAACUGGGUCUAAUACUGGAUACUACCGUCCACCGCAUGGUGGGUGGUGGAAAGGGUUUUACUGGUUUUGGAUGGGCUCACGGCCUAUCAGCUUGUUGGUGGGGUAAUGGCUCACCAAGGCGACGACGGGUAGCCGGCCUGAGAGGGUGACCGGCCACACUGGGACUGAGACACGGCCCAGACUCCUACGGGAGGCAGCAGUGGGGAAUAUUGCACAAUGGGCGGAAGCCUGAUGCAGCGACGCCGCGUGAGGGAUGACGGCCUUCGGGUUGUAAACCUCUUUCAGUAGGGAAGAAGCGAGAGUGACGGUACCUGCAGAAGAAGCGCCGGCUAACUACGUGCCAGCAGCCGCGGUAAUACGUAGGGCGCAAGCGUUGUCCGGAAUUAUUGGGCGUAAAGAGCUCGUAGGCGGUUUGUCGCGUCUGCUGUGAAAGCCCGGGGCUCAACCCCGGGUCUGCAGUGGGUACGGGCAGACUAGAGUGCAGUAGGGGAGACUGGAAUUCCUGGUGUAGCGGUGAAAUGCGCAGAUAUCAGGAGGAACACCGAUGGCGAAGGCAGGUCUCUGGGCUGUUACUGACGCUGAGGAGCGAAAGCAUGGGGAGCGAACAGGAUUAGAUACCCUGGUAGUCCAUGCCGUAAACGUUGGGCACUAGGUGUGGGGGACAUUCCACGUUUUCCGCGCCGUAGCUAACGCAUUAAGUGCCCCGCCUGGGGAGUACGGCCGCAAGGCUAAAACUCAAAGGAAUUGACGGGGGCCCGCACAAGCGGCGGAGCAUGCGGAUUAAUUCGAUGCAACGCGAAGAACCUUACCAAGGCUUGACAUUCACCGGACCGCCCCAGAGAUGGGGUUUCCCUUCGGGGCUGGUGGACAGGUGGUGCAUGGUUGUCGUCAGCUCGUGUCGUGAGAUGUUGGGUUAAGUCCCGCAACGAGCGCAACCCUCGUUCUAUGUUGCCAGCACGUGAUGGUGGGGACUCAUAGGAGACUGCCGGGGUCAACUCGGAGGAAGGUGGGGAUGACGUCAAAUCAUCAUGCCCCUUAUGUCUUGGGCUUCACGCAUGCUACAAUGGCCGGUACAAAGGGUUGCGAUACUGUGAGGUGGAGCUAAUCCCAAAAAGCCGGUCUCAGUUCGGAUUGAGGUCUGCAACUCGACCUCAUGAAGUCGGAGUCGCUAGUAAUCGCAGAUCAGCAACGCUGCGGUGAAUACGUUCCCGGGCCUUGUACACACCGCCCGUCAAGUCACGAAAGUUGGUAACACCCGAAGCCGGUGGCCUAACCCCUUGUGGGAGGGAGCCGUCGAAGGUGAACCUGGGC
This 1430-nucleotide ribosomal RNA is filed under the name Kocuria rosea subsp. polaris. Its description in RNAcentral is "bacterial SSU rRNA". It matches the Rfam family "Bacterial small subunit ribosomal RNA". The record is from RNAcentral. Lineage: Bacteria; Bacillati; Actinomycetota; Actinomycetes; Micrococcales; Micrococcaceae.